RNAcentral lists this ribosomal RNA (254 nucleotides) under uncultured bacterium. Its description in RNAcentral is "partial 16S ribosomal RNA". It matches the Rfam family "Bacterial small subunit ribosomal RNA", at positions 524 to 776 of the family's 1533-position model. The record is from RNAcentral.
UACGUAGGGGGCUAGCGUUGUCCGGAAUCAUUGGGCGUAAAGAGCGUGUAGGCGGCCCGGUAAGUCCGCUGUGAAAGUCGGGGGCUCAACCCUCGAAUGCCGGUGGAUACUGUCGGGCUAGAGUGCGGAAGAGGCGAGUGGAAUUCCGUGGUGUAGCGGUGAAAUGCGCAGAUAUCAGGAGGAACACCGAUUGCGAAGGCAGCUCGCUGGGACGUAACUGACGCUGAGACGCGAAAGCGUGGGGAGCAAACAGG